RNAcentral lists this ribosomal RNA (253 nucleotides) under uncultured bacterium. RNAcentral describes it as "partial 16S ribosomal RNA". It matches the Rfam family "Bacterial small subunit ribosomal RNA", at positions 88 to 339 of the family's 1533-position model. The record is from RNAcentral.
GCUGAGACUGGCGCACGGGUGCGUAACGCGUAGGCAAUCUGGCCCACAGUGGGGGAUAACACGCCGAAAGGCGUGCUAAUACCGCAUGAGACAGUAUCUCCGCAUGGAGAAGUUGUUAAAGCAGCAAUGUGCUGUGGGAUGAGCCUGCGUUCGAUUAGUUAGUUGGCGGGGUAACGGCCCACCAAGACAAUGAUCGAUAGCUGGUCUGAGAGGAUGAUCAGCCACACGGGGACUGAGACACGGCCCCGACUCC